UGGGGAAUAUUGCACAAUGGGCGCAAGCCUGAUGCAGCCAUGCCGCGUGUGUGAAGAAGGCCUUCGGGUUGUAAAGCACUUUCAGCGAGGAGGAAGGUGGUGAGCUUAAUACGCUCAUCAAUUGACGUUACUCGCAGAAGAAGCACCGGCUAACUCCGUGCCAGCAGCCGCGGUAAUACGGAGGGUGCAAGCGUUAAUCGGAAUUACUGGGCGUAAAGCGCACGCAGGCGGUUUGUUAAGUCAGAUGUGAAAUCCCCGGGCUCAACCUGGGAACUGCAUUUGAAACUGGCAAGCUAGAGUCUCGUAGAGGGGGGUAGAAUUCCAGGUGUAGCAGUGAAAUGCGUAGAGAUCUGGAGGAAUACCGGUGGCGAAGGCGGCCCCCUGGACGAAGACUGACGCUCAGGUGCGAAAGCGUGGGGCAGCAAACAGGAUUAGAUACCCUGGUAGUCCACGCUGUAAACGAUGUCGAUUUUGGAGGUUGUGCCCUUGAGGCGUGGCUUCCGGAGCUAACGCGUUAAAUCGACCGCCUGGGGAGUACGGCCGCAAGGUUAAAACUUAAAGGAAUUGAC
RNAcentral lists this ribosomal RNA (569 nucleotides) under uncultured bacterium. RNAcentral describes it as "partial 16S ribosomal RNA". It matches the Rfam family "Bacterial small subunit ribosomal RNA", at positions 355 to 914 of the family's 1533-position model. The record is from RNAcentral.